Molecule: ribosomal RNA, 497 nt
Filed under: uncultured bacterium
Lineage: Bacteria
Description: partial 16S ribosomal RNA
Rfam family: Bacterial small subunit ribosomal RNA
Source: RNAcentral
GAUGAACGCUGGCGGCGUGCCUAAUACAUGCAAGUCGAGCGAACGGACGAGAAGCUUGCUUCUCUGAUGUUAGCGGCGGACGGGUGAGUAACACGUGGAUAACCUACCUAUAAGACUGGGAUAACUUCGGGAAACCGUAGCUAAUACCGGAUAAUAUUUUGAACCGCAUGGUUCAAGAGUGAAAGACGGUCUUGCUGUCACUUAUAGAUGGAUCCGCGCUGCAUUAGCUAGUUGGUAAGGUAACGGCUUACCAAGGCAACGAUGCAUAGCCGACCUGAGAGGGUGAUCGGCCACACUGGAACUGAGACACGGUCCAGACUCCUACGGGAGGCAGCAGUAGGGAAUCUUCCGCAAAGGGCGAAAGCCUGAUGGAGCAACGCCGCGUGAGUGAUGAAGGUCUUCGGAUCGUAAAGCUCUGUUAUUAGGGAAGAACAUAUGUGUAAGUAACUGUGCACAUCUUGACGGUACCUAAACAGAAAGCCACGGCUAACUACGUG